RNAcentral lists this ribosomal RNA (230 nucleotides) under uncultured bacterium. RNAcentral's name for it is "partial 16S ribosomal RNA". It matches the Rfam family "Bacterial small subunit ribosomal RNA", at positions 562 to 791 of the family's 1533-position model. The record is from RNAcentral.
AAAGGGUCCGUAGGCGGUUUGGUAAGUCAGUGGUGAAAGCCCAUCGCUUAACGAUGGAACGGCCAUUGAUACUGCCAGACUUGAAUUACUAGGAAGUAACUAGAAUAUGUAGUGUAGCGGUGAAAUGCUUAGAUAUUACAUGGAAUACCAAUUGCGAAGGCAGGUUACUACUAGUGGAUUGACGCUGAUGGACGAAAGCGUGGGGAGCGAACAGGAUUAGAUACCCCGGU